AACGAACGCUGGCGGCGCGCCUAAUACAUGCAAGUCGAGCGAGAAGACGUAGCAAUACGUUUGUAAAGCGGCGAACGGGUGAGGAAUACAUGGGUAACCUACCCUCGAGUGGGGAAUAACUAGCCGAAAGGUUAGCUAAUACCGCGUACGCUCCUUGGACUUCGGUUCAGGGAGGAAAGCGAUACCGUGGGUAUCGCGCUCUUGGAUGGGCUCAUGUCCUAUCAGCUUGUUGGUGAGGUAACGGCUCACCAAGGCUUCGACGGGUAGCUGGUCUGAGAGGACGAUCAGCCACACUGGCACUGCGACACGGGCCAGACUCCUACGGGAGGCAGCAGUAAGGAAUAUUGCGCAAUGGGCGAAAGCCUGACGCAGCGACGCCGCGUGGGGGAUGAAGGUCUUCGGAUUGUAAACCCCUUUCGGGAGGGAAGAUGGAACGAGCAAUCGUUCGGACAGUACCUCC
RNAcentral lists this ribosomal RNA (460 nucleotides) under uncultured bacterium. Its description in RNAcentral is "bacterial SSU rRNA". It matches the Rfam family "Bacterial small subunit ribosomal RNA", at positions 29 to 482 of the family's 1533-position model. The record is from RNAcentral.